Ostrea edulis (European flat oyster) is the source of this 5690-nucleotide RNA transcript. RefSeq lists it as uncharacterized. Lineage: Eukaryota; Metazoa; Mollusca; Bivalvia; Ostreida; Ostreidae. The transcript is spliced from 7 exons. The record is from RefSeq and is a predicted model, not a curated record.
GCCCGUAGUGACGAUUUAUAAUAACGGAAAUCCAUGGCGAUGGCCAAUCUGUCACCAGAGGGCGUAUUACGAGAACUCUGCGUAGAUGGGCGAUGGCAUGUGCCAAUAUCUGUCAACACAUGGUUGAAAACUGUGCGAUGUCUGGAAUUGUCAAAGGGUGCUUGUGAAAUAUCCUUGGAUACUGUAUCACGCGUGUCCAAAUGCCCUACAAACAAAGAAGAAUAUGAAUAUGACGCAAAGAGGAAGAACUGUAGCCAAUACAACAACGCGAGAUGUCCACCACUUCUGUAUCACUGUGUCUGGAAUGACAAUACGACAUAUUUGGUCGAGGUGUGUGCGGCAUUACGGUAUAUUUCUAUUGGAAAAUGUGCGUUAUUCAGUACAGGUUAUCUCAUCAUUCGCGAUAACUAUGUAAGAAAUUGUUCCUACCUAACCCCUCCAUGUUUGCAGUUCUACGAAUCUACGGAGUCUUACAAAUACUCUGGAUGUUAUACAUUGGACGAGAAUUCAAAACCUGUAGCAGAUAGAUCUGGCAUUGCAAAAAACGAAGUGUUUCCGACCUGGGCUAUAGUUCUGUUCAUCUUACUAGCUUGUAUCGCAUUCAUAACAACUGUGGUCUACACUAUUCACAGAUGUAGACACAAAAGAAACCUGUAGUAAACUGUAGAAAAUGGGGUGACCCUGGGUCCUACUUGAGGGUAUGGAUUAUCCUCGUGCGUUGCGAAGCAAAGUUACAGCGACUGAUCUCACAAUGCAGGGAUAUAUGGAAUAUCAUACAAUAAAACAGAGCAAACCCGACAAAUUCUGAGAAUGAAGUCACUGGUGUCAUGUUAGAGAAACGGAUAGAACUUAACCAAGGACAGUGUAAUAUAUAACUGGAUAUAGCAUUCAAUGGCGAGUCUUCUCAUACAUGUCAAACUACGAUUGGAAGGAUUAUUAUUCGUCCUUUUGGUCUGGUAGUUACAUCUUACGAACCUGAUUUAUUUCAUACGAUCAUUUGCAUUAUACAAUAUCACCAUUGUUUUAUUUUCACAUGUCAGUGAGUAGUUAGAUAAUUACAACAGUAGUACAUCCAUGCUAGCGCGGAAAUCAUUUAAACAUCUUUAACCCCUCAAAUGUGAAUCAUAAACCUUGAACUCUUUGGCGUAUCGCCAUUCACCCCAUAUACCCCGGCUUACACACUAAGAGGUCAGAAUAAGUAUUUCACAUCACUAUUUCACUAUUUAUAGCUCGCCUUACACUACAAGGAGACCUCAAAUAAUAAAAAAAAUCACUAUUCCACUUCAAAAACAUCAAUUCAUUCUUAAAUAGAUACCGAACACAUACGUUAACUGCAAUUCCUUAUUGUAUUUUAUUGCUAUGAUGUGUCGAGUAAAAAUAGCAGAACCAAAGUAAGAUACAAAAAAGGCAUCCAAAAUAAUUCUAAUUUCUUUUUAAAGAAAAUGUGUAUAUUUCUAAUAUAUCAUAGAGAUAACAUAUAUACUUAUAAACUGAUAAAUUUUGACAAUAAAAUCCGAACCGCUUGCUCCAGAGUUACUACUAGCACCUUUAAUAUUGUUUUAUAUGUAAGGUGAAGUCCCUAAGCUGCAAUGGGAUUUUACUUGACCAGUAAAUUUUGUAAAAGUAAUUAAACAUCUACUUUUGUUUUCAAUAAACUACCCUGGAAUCGCAAAAAUGAUAGUAGAUUGGUGGAUACACUUUGGUGGAUUUAAGUCAGUUUUUAAAGUUAAAUGAAGUAAAUCCGUUGUUUAUCGAUGUUUGAUUUUGAUCUUGCUGAGGAGUUAAGAUCUGAUAAUUGUUGAACAGAUAAGAUAUGCCCGUUCGUUUCUUCAAUUCGUGAUUUUAGUCCUGAAUAAACGUCAUGGAAAUUUUGAGAACGAAACACCCAGAGCGAGCCCAUAUAUACCGUCUUUAUGAAGAUUUAUAAUUAUAUUACUUAUAUACAUCUUAGUAAAUUUAGGGUACCCCCUACCCUACCGAGAAUAGUGAUCCGACACACCGAUAAAUGUUUAAAUACAAUAUUCAUCUGAUAUUUUCGAUGUUAAUUUCUCCGUCAUUAUAAAAGUCGCAAUUACGAGGUUUUGUAAUAAUUUAUUAAAAUUCACUGAUAUGUACAUGUACAAACACAUGGGUGAACACAAAAACGUUUUCAUUUUGGUUGAACGUGUCUUGUGAUGACACAUAUCUUGAAAGUAAGUAAUAGGUCGAAAACUAUCCAAUACGUCAGAUAUCGAAUGGUCCGAAACUGUUCUGGGGAGCUUACGCCUUAUAACUGUACAUUUAAAACAUUUUACCGAAAUAUUAGGUUGUACACUACCUGGCAAUGUCCCAGAAAUCAGAUCGCUGUUUACAAUAUAACAGCAUUUUCUGUUUGAUAUUCAGAUUAUGCAUCAUGUUUUCGAUUACUGCGUUUGGCGAGAAAAAAACACGUGUAUCUAUUGUACAUUGUUGCACUGGACAAAAACUGCCUUUAUAAAUACAUCGCAAUUUUGAAAUUAUGAAUCACCGUCUAUUUUGUCUUUGGUAAAAAUUCGGCAUGGAGGACUACGAUUACAUUCGUAAAUUCAUUAUUUAGUUUUCAAUGCGGAGAUAGAUCAUUUGUGUUACAUAAAGAAUAUUUAAUUUGGACCUCCAUGUGGCUUCAUAGUAAUCGAAUCUUAUUUACCGCACAUGAUAUCAAUGCAUAUAACCUAACCAACGCACGCAAUUAUUUAAAAAAAAAUAGUCUUAAAUCCAUUUGAAUAAAGAUACAACUGUAUCGUUCAUUGAAACAUAUAUUUAAAAAGUCCUUCCUUUUCGCGAUAUCAUUGAUUUCAUCUAGCUGUUUAAUCAAAUUGUUAUGUGUUCAUAUUACAUUAAAACCCAGUGCCUUGCCGAAUGUUUCUGCAAUGUAUUUUCCCAUUCUUUUUUUUUUUUCUUUUUUUUAUAAUUUAUGGAUUAUCAAACAUGUGUUCAAUAGGUAAAGAAUCUAUUUAGAAAAUGCACUGCCUUUUGCAAUCCAUUUACUAGCAAUAUUGCUGUAUUUUAAAGGUUACGUAAUUUUAAAAACUUUGUUUAGCAAUAUGAUUAUCAAUUAUAUUAUAUACCUUUGCAUUGACAAUAGCAAUAUAUAUUACAAGUUCAAAAUGUCAAGCCACUUGUGUUCCAUGCAUUUUCAUCUCUAUGCGCAAUUUAAAUUUGCAUUUUAAAGCUGUUUUAUGUUUCAUUGUGGAUUGGUUUAUGACAUAUAAAUGUGGUAUUGUGUGUUGGUGAAUUCAGCAUGUCUGUAGCAUGUCUGUAGCAUACAUUAAGCUUUUCAAUGAUGUAGAGUUCAAAUAAGUAAUCAAUUUAGAAAACAUACUAUUAAAGAGACUCUGUCAGUAAUCAUGGAGAAUAUUUUGGAAAAUGCAUUUUUUAAUUGAAGAAUUCUUUAAAAAAAAUAUUGAAACUGCAUAUAUUGGUCACUUAAACUCAAAUAAUACAAUGUUAUUGCUAACUUUGUUGUUACCAUGAUCACAAGGACAAAGUCCUUGAAAAAACAUCAACAGUGAAAUAUACCUUUUUAAAGUAAAAAAAUCAAUAAAAUUAAGAUAAUAAGAUGCAUUUUUUUUAGUUUAAGGUAAAUAAACAAGGCUUAUAUAUAUAUAUAUAUAUAUAUAUAUAUAUAUAUAUAUAUAUAUAUAAUGAAGUAAGAAAUUUUAAUAUCGCAGCAAAAUUGAUUGACAUGGUAACAAACAUGCCUUGCAUUGUAUACAGUCAAAAAUUCAAAUAAAACAAUAGACUUUUUUCAGAGGCGCAGCACAAUCAGUCAAUGUAUAUCAUAUAGAAAGAAGACACAAAUGUUAGAUUUCUAUUCAAAACAAUAAAAUCAUUUAAACAACUUUUUGUUUUUGUUAGUGACCUUACCAAAAGCACCAUUUUUUUUCAUGUUCAGCUACAUUUUCGAAAAUUUAUCUAAUUAACUAACUAUUUCAGGGCAAGACUAUUUGCUAUUUGGGUGCAUUGAUUACUCUUUAAUGCCAUUCUAAAUUCUAUUGAAACUUGUAAAUGACCUUGUCCUAUAAUAUCAAGGUCACAUACAAUAACCAGUGACCGUCAUAUUUAAUCAGUUAACAUAAACUUCAGAUGGAUUUGAUUUAAACAUGUAUAUAUCUUAUCUACUAACCAACCUGUGUAUAUAAAAAAAGAAAUAAAAUUGAAUAUUGAUGUAUGGCUCUGUGCAUACCUCAACUAUGAGAAAAUAUAUAUAACAAAGUCAUAGAACAUAAUACAAAAAUCACCAGGUCGUUAAGUUUACUAUUGGGGGACUGUCAAAAUACACGUAUGUUGGAAAAGUAGGCCUCACAUAUUUCUUUAUUUCGAUUUGUAAUUGGAAAACGUGUGUGUGUGCUAUACAUGUACUAAUAACCUGAUGAUAUAGGAAUGCCAUAUUUGUUAGAGGACCUACCAACGAAAUACGCAGUGCACAAUAACCCACCCCGUCCCUUCUCAUAUAAACAGAAAUCCACAUCGUUACGUUUACAAUAUUUCGAAAUACGAAUUGCAUUACAAUAGAAACUACAUUGACCAAUUGGUAGAAUAUAAUAUGAUUCAGUGAAAAUACUGUGCUUUGAAUACACAAAAAGUGCAUCACAUUGCCUGUUGAGUAUGACGCAAUUUGAGAUUAAAGUGUGACAUUAGCAUUGAUACUAUUGUGUAAAAUAUGAUUUAGAUAUUUCUAUUAGACGGAUCUUGUUUAGGGUGGGUUUUUUUUCACGAGAAACGAAUGUUCUACAAUAUAUAUACAUCAAAUUUUACUUAUCAUUGAUUUACUAUCAGUCAAGCCAGUUGGUAUGAUAUUGGAAUGGUUACAUGGAUUCUAACGUUACUAUUAACUACUAUAUAAAAUUUGAUUCACAGGAAAAUAGGCAACUAUCUACAGUCAUUUUCUUUCAAGGUUUCUAUUAAUUCGAUUCCUUGAUGACCAUCCAGAAUUUUUGAUGCCGUCUGCUAAGUGAUAUUCAUUCAUUUCUUCCAUUAAUUCUAGAGAGUUCGCAUAAGGGGUAUAAUCAUUGUGUAAAAUGAUUGGCACCAGUGUGGAGUGUUUGGAGGGGGUACAGAAAGAGUAAAGUGUUUUACUGUCUUCAUUUACUAUAUUGGUAACAUAAAUAGCUGUCUUAAAAAAGACAUGUAGAAUUAAUGUCAGCCCUGCUGUGCUUUAGAGAAAAUAUAGUCUGAAAAGAGGUCAUAAAUGCUCGUCUUUUUACCUUAAUUUUUAAUAAUAAAGAGGAAAAUAUGUAUUUUUCAAACACAAGUAUAAUGAUUUAAGUACAUUGUAUUUUCUUGAAUUUCCCUUCACUGUACCUUGUUGGGAAAUUGCUUUAUUAGAAAUAUUUGUGAAAAGAUUAACAAAGCUUAACAUCUAAAGAUUUAACUGUGGGCACGGUUUGAUGCCAUAGAAACACGAUGCAUCAGGUGCAUCAACAUUGGUACCGUAUACGUUUUACAUGGUUCCCGUAAUUUCCACUUUUUUAAAAUCUACUAUAUCGCAAUGCACAAAAGUGUUAGAUUUUCGUUCAGAUUUGCGAUUUUUGCACUUUCCACUUUUUAAAAGACAAUUCUUAAUGGUUACUGACAACUUCUCUUAAACAUUUUAUUUCUUCAUUUGUAAAUAACUCUCUAAUGAAUGUAUGACUAGUUUGUAUCUUAAUAAAACGAAGACUUCUUUUGCA